GAUGAAGAACGCAGUGAAAUGCGAUAAGUAAUGUGAAUUGCAGAAUUCAGUGAAUCAUCGAAUCUUUGAACGCACAUUGCGCCCGCCAGUAUUCUGGCGGGCAUGCCUGUUCGAGCGUCAUUUCAACCAUCAAGCCCCCGGCUUGUGUUGGGGACCUGCGGCUGCCGCAGGCCCUGAAAACCAGUGGCGGGCUCGCUAGUCACUCCGAGCGUAGUAAUACAUCUCGCUCAGGGCGUGCUGCGGGUUCCGGCCGUUAAAAAGCCUUAUUUACCCAAGGUUGACCUCGGAUCAGGUAGGAAGACCCGCUGAACUUAAGCAUAUCAAUAAGCGGGA
RNAcentral lists this unclassified non-coding RNA (333 nucleotides) under soil metagenome. RNAcentral's name for it is "partial contains 5.8S ribosomal RNA, internal transcribed spacer 2, and large subunit ribosomal RNA". The stretch from base 1 to 120 matches the Rfam family "5.8S ribosomal RNA", at positions 35 to 154 of the family's 154-position model. The record is from RNAcentral.